AUAAAUUUUGUAAUUUAAAAAAUUUAAUUUAAAUUUAUUUUACAUAUAAAUUUUAGUGUUAAUUUUUAAUUAUUUUAAUAAUUUUUUAAAAAUGAUUGGUAGUAAUUAAAAUUAUAAAUUUAAGAAAUUAAGAUUUAGUAAUAUUUAUAUUUAUUAACAAAUUUUGUGCCAGCAGUUGCGGUUAUACAAAUAAUAAUUUAAAUUUUAUUAGUAAAUAAUUAGUAUAAUAAGAAAAAAAUUAAAUAUUAAUUUAUUAGGUAAAAUUUUAAUUUAAUAAAAAUUUUAAUUAAUUAUAUGAUUUAUUAAAUUUUGAAAAAAACUAGGAUUAGAUACCCUAUUAUUAAAAAUUAAAUUAAUAAUACUAAAUUAGUAUAUAAUAAUUUAUAAAAACUUAAAUAAUUUGGCGGUAUUUUAGUUCAUUUAGAGGAAUCUGUUUAAUAAUUGAUAAUCCACGAAUAAAUUUACUUAAUUUAUAAAUUUUGUAUAUCGUUGUUAAAAAAAUAUUUUUUAAUAAAAAUAAUAUUUUAAAAUUAUAAAUAUAAUUUAGUUCAGAUCAAGAUGCAGAUUAUAAUUAAGAAUAUAAUGGAUUACAAUAUAUAAUAAAUAAAUGGAUAUUAUUGUUUAAUAAAUAUUUGAAAAUGGAUUUAAAUGUAAUUUUAUUUAAUUUAUUAAAAUGAUUAUAAAUUAAAAUAUGUACAUAUUGCCCGUCGCUUUCAUAUAUAAAUUGAAAUAAGUCGUAACAAAGUAGAAGUACUGGAAAGUGUUUCUAGAAAGAA
RNAcentral lists this non-coding RNA (776 nucleotides) under Teinopalpus aureus (golden kaiserihind). Lineage: Eukaryota; Metazoa; Arthropoda; Insecta; Lepidoptera; Papilionidae. The record is from RNAcentral.